AGUGCUCAUAGCCGAAUCCGGCGCUUUGCGGCGUCGGAAAUGUGGCGUAUGGGAGGCGGAGUCCUCCGAGUGCGACCGGCGGUACAAGUCCCCAUGAGAGGGGCAUUUACCCCGAGCGGGUGCUAGGCCCGUACCGCCGCCGGUCAGCGCGCGGAGUUGCCGUUCUCCCGGGAGUCGGGUUGCUUGGGAGUGCAGCCCUAAGUGGGUGGUAAACUCCACCUAAAGCUAAAUAAGACCGAGAGACCGAUAGCGAACAAGUACCGUGAGGGAAAGUUGAAAAGCACUUUGAAGAGAGAGUUCAAGAGUACGUGAAACCGUUCAGAGGUAAACGGGUGGGACCUCGAAGUCCGAAGGCGGUGGUGGAUUCAGCCGGGUGCUGCUGUAUAUACCCUUUCCGAGGUUUCCUCACGACGAGGCCCUCUGUUGGGGAUUUUGUCUAGUUCCCGGCGCACUUCCACACCCCGUCCAGUAGGGCGUCGCGACCGGUUGGAAGGCUGUCGUAAGGGCGGACGUGAAAGGUGGCUGCAUUUCCCUCGGGAUCUGCGGUGUUACAGCCUGUCCAUUCCCCGACUGGUCGUCCGACCGGGGUCGAGUUCAUCUCUGUUGCGUUCCCUUCCAGAAGGAAGCGCGGCGCGGGUCGAGCUUGUUUCGGAGCGGUGUGCCACCUUCAAGGGUGAGCACCUUUCGAGAUAGGUUUCUGGCCUGUGGCCGCGCGGGGAGCCGGAGGUCGCGGCGAGUAGGUCGGUUACCCACCCGACCCGUCUUGAAACACGGACCAAGGAGUCUAACGCGUGUGCGAGUUCCCGGGACUUGAAUAGGCCUGUGGGCGCAAUAAAAGUAAAGGUCGUCUUUAAGACGACCGAGUUGGGAUCCGAACCUUCGGGGACGGCGCACCAACGGCCCGUCCGUGCCGGUUUCGGAAGGGCGGAGMUAGAGCAUACGCUCUGGGACCCGAAAGAUGGGAACUA
RNAcentral lists this ribosomal RNA (968 nucleotides) under Parobisium charlotteae. RNAcentral's name for it is "LSU rRNA". It matches the Rfam family "Eukaryotic large subunit ribosomal RNA", at positions 104 to 833 of the family's 3401-position model. The record is from RNAcentral. Lineage: Eukaryota; Metazoa; Arthropoda; Arachnida; Pseudoscorpiones; Neobisiidae.